Pristis pectinata (smalltooth sawfish) is the source of this 7166-nucleotide long non-coding RNA. RefSeq lists it as uncharacterized. The transcript has 7 exons. The record is from RefSeq and is a predicted model, not a curated record. Lineage: Eukaryota; Metazoa; Chordata; Chondrichthyes; Rhinopristiformes; Pristidae.
GAUGAAGGAGGAAGUUGGAACUCCAUUGUAAAGACUUCGAUUCUGGCCCAACUUGGCAGGGAAAAUAAACUGAUCAAACUGCAUUAUGAGCAACAGGUCAAAUCUUACUUCAGAAUUCAUGAGUGAGGAAGCAUUUGUCAGUGAAAACUUAGCCACUAUUGGAAGGUUUGAGCUCUUGACUUCUGAAUGUCAAGUUAUCAAAGAAACAGUUCACAAGUACUAUACUGGGCAUCUGGUCUUCACGCAGUUUCUGACCUGGGCCUCCUACCAAGUUCCAGUGAAACUCAGCAUUAGCUCAAGUAACACCACUUCAUCUUUCAAAUAGGCACACUACAGCCUUCUAGACAAAGCGAUACAUUAAGACCAAACCAUUCUGCCACUACUCAAGAUUUUACUGCUCUUCAACUACACGAUACUUCCAGUAAAGUUUUACCACAGACAUUUGAAAGCACUCCAGAUGCCAAGAUGCAUAAAACAAAUGUGUUACGUGCAAAAGUGAGUCACAAAGAGGAGCAGGUGGAACUCCCUAUUUCCAUAUUGAGGAAGAGAUCCAAGAUGACAAGGUAUCAAGACUAUGUUUCUCACAGAACAAGAUCAGAAAGAAGAGUACGCUUUCGAGAAUCAGAUGAGAUAAUUUUUCACACAACUGAAGAUAAUUCCUAUUUGCCAGCAGUGUUUUGGAAAUUAUUGGUCGUCAUUUCGCUGAGUCUGGUGAUCAUAUUGCUCCAUUAUAAUGAAAACGCGUCAAACAUGUAUGAACAACUUCAUUCAAAACUCAUCAGUUAUUACUUGGAAAUAAAACAUACAACUUUCAGCUGGUUGAAUCGGAAUAGAAGACAUUAGAAUGUCAGUAGCAUCAGACAACCUAAUUUCAGCAGAAAAACCUUCAACAGCAAAUGUGAAAAUGCCUGCCUUAAGCAGCUUUUUUAAUUGGAAGUAGAUGAAGACUUAAAUUGAAAGAGGAAAUAGCUAUGAAAGUAAUGCCGAUCCAUAGGAAUAUGAUAAACUUAACACAAAAAUAAUUAAAGCAGUAGUUGUAAUCAAACAUUCUAUAAUUCAUUCAAAUGACAGAUUAUUUCAAACCAAUGUUUAAUGCAACUCCUAUUUCAGAAUCAAAUCAAUAUGAGACAUGUCAUGGUUUGAAUUGGACUGCUAUGAAACAGUCUUGUCACUUAAUUUCAAUACUGCAGUAAAAUUUCUUUUUAAAAUUAAAAGUUCCCUUUCCCAUUCUAAAUUGAUAGUUUAUAGCUACAAACCUAAAACUUACUUACUUUGCCUUUUAUUUAAUUAUAAGGGUACCAACUGUUCCUUGCAGUGACCAUUAUACUUUCUAAGUGCCUUAAGGAUUCAGAUCAUCAUGCAGCCUGAAAAUUCAAAACUAGCUUAUUGCAAAUAUAUUGCAUCCUGAAUGAUGCCAGCUGUACAAAAAGAAACAGCAAUAUAACUACUAGAAAAGCAACAAAGUACUGCAGAUUCUGAAAAUUUGAAUUCAAACCAAAAAAUAUUUGAAAUAAUACCAGGGAAGACAGCAUUUGAAGAAAGAGAAAUAAUUAACAUUUCAAGGUGAUGACCUUUUGUCAGAAUUCAGUAACAGAGUUAGCUCACAUGCUGAAGGAAUUGUUAAUCUUACUCUCUGGUCCUAUUUUAAGCAGUUAAUGGGCCUUUAAACAUUAAUUUUAGGAACAGGGGUUAGGGUGGGGAGGGCGAGUAGAAUAAUGAAAAAGUGAGGAGAGAAGAAAAGAUCGUAAAGGUCCCUAAAUCUGUGAAAGAGAGGCUGAUGGUGUAUAGAAAAAAGGGCUGGCAAUGGGACAAGUAAAAGCAUAGGGUGUUCCCAGAGAAAUGUAUACCAGGGUUAAUAUUUCUGAGGCAAUCUCUCAAUCAAAUGAUGUUUUGUUUUCCUUCUCUGAAAUGUGUUCAGGAAAGGUGGUGCCAAUCAUCAUGUUUCUGUGUAGUGCUUCAUCUAGGGCAGAUGUGUGAACUGCAAGAGAGUUGAGUUCUUCUUGACUUUUGACUUUUUCUGGCUACUUACAUCAAUAGGAAUUUUUAACCAGCUGAUUACCUUAAAAGAUGUUACUAGAUGAAAUUCAUGGCUUUAGGAGCAAAGGGUUACUGCCAUGAUAAAAAUCAAAUAUCUGAAUAGAGGAAAUAAUCAAAACACCAGUUAAGCUUAGAACAGUUUAUUGUUACUAAUGAGCAUUCAAAAUAUUGAAUGUUUGCUAAAUGGGAAUAUAUUUUGCCCUAAAUUUCUGCUGGAUAUUUAAGCAAAAACAAUGUAAUGUAGAUGUUGCUCUAAAUUCUACCUAUUGAUCAGGUAAUUAAAUUUUCAGCCAUUGCCUCUGUUUAUAUAGUCUGAUAUUUUGUAGAUAACAUUCAUUUUAAUAAACAGUAUUUUCUGGACUUGAGCAAUCUUGCUAUUGAAAGUUGGAGUGCACAUGAGGUAUAAAAAUAAAAACAUUAGAAAUAAUUUCAUUUUACUAUGUAGAAACGCUAAGGCCUUUUAAAAAUAUUUUAAUGUAAUAUAAUUUGGAAUAAAAUGUGGUUCUAAAUUUCUACUUUUAAAUUAUUAAUUCAUGUGCCAUCUCAAAUCAGCAGAAACAUAUAAUUAUUUUUAUGAUUAUUCCAUCUGACCAUUUUUCAUUUAAAAGUAUAUUACAGUUUUGAAGAAAGCGGUACACCACGACUUCUACCAUUGAUUCUGUAAUGAUCUAAUGUUAAUAGAGUUGUUAUACCUAUGAGACCUGCUGUUAUUUAGUUACCUUGAUUGUACUCUUAAGCUUUGUUAUGACUCAAGGUGAGAUCUUGGCACUUGUUACCUUUGCACAAGCAUCUUGAACUUCAUUUGGGAAUAAUCAUUUUAAUUGUCGAACAUCAUUCAUUCUGUUUAGAUAUGGGAUAAGUUCCAAUGAAUUAUUUUGGGAAAUGAUUAAAUCAGAAGCUGGGAACCACAGAGGCAAGAAAACAGCCGGUAGAUGAAGGUUAUAUUUAUCAUUCAGUGGAAAACAAAAAUGUAUCAACAUUUCAGACCAAUGACCUUUCAUCAUGAUUAAUGAAAGCUCAUGGACUUGAAGCUUUAACUCUGUUUUACUCUCUGUACAUGCUGUCUGACCUGCUGAGUGUUUCUAGUAUUUUCUGUAUUAUUUUGGAUUUCCAGCAUCUCCAGUAUGUUGCUUUGUAAAUUUAUUAAAACAUUGCACUUAAAUGAAUCUGCCAAGAACUGCAAAAUUCUCAGCUUCUGUCAUUAUUUACUUGAAUAACCUGAUAAAACAAUAUGACCGUAAUAGUAAAAGAAUCCUAUUUCUGCUUAUGCCCUUCUUUUGAUAACUCUCAUUAUUUCCUGACUGUGACAGCCUGCAUGUCUUUGAUCUUCAAUCUACAGCAAAGUCAAAGUACUUGGAGGAACUCUUGUCCUAACUUCAACACAUUUUUUUGUAAGAAAGCAUAUAUUCAAUGUUUAGGAUAUCUCCCUGACAGGUCUGUGUAGAAAAAAUAACCAUAACCACUGACCCAUGCCGUAAUACUUAAUUUCACUGAAUGGGACUAAAAUCACAUUAGCAAGCUAUUAAUUCAAAGGAAGUAAAGUGUAAGAUAUUUAACUGAAAGCAUCAGUGAAAACUGAUUACUUCCAUCUGGUUAGCAAUGCAGGUAGUUAAACUGCAUUAAAAUUUUAAGAAGAAAUUUUGGGGUGGUUUAUUAGGCAUAAUUAUGACACUCUAGCUUGAAGUUUUUAUAUCUCCUUAGUUGCUGUUUAUUUUGUGUUAAUUUUAAAAUGAUCUAAUUAUCCUGGAGGAAACAUUGCUAUAAUUUUAAUUAUGGUCGAGAGGGUUGAGAGCUUCAAGUUCCUGGGAGUGAACAUCACCAACAGCCUGUCCUGGUCAAAUCAUGUAGAUGCCACGGCCAAGAACGCUCACCAGCACCUCUACUUCCUCAGGAGGCUAAAGAAAUUUGGUUUGUCCCCUUUGACUCUCACCAGCUUUUACCGAUGCACCAUAGAAAGCAUCCUCUCAGGAUGCAUCACAGCUUGGUACGGCAACUGCAAGAAACUGCAGAGAGUUGUGGACACAGCCCAGUGCAUCAUGGACACCAGCCUCCCCUCCUUGGACUCUUUACCUCUUGUUGUCUUGGUGAAGCAGCCAGCAUAAUCAAAGACCCCACCCACCUGGGACAUUCUCUCUUCUCUCUCCUUCCAUUAGGUAGAAGAUACAGGAGCCAGAGGGCACAUACCACCAGACUUAAGGACAGCUUCUACCCCACUGUGAUGACUAUUGAAUGGUUUCCUUAUACAAUGAGAUGAACUAUGACCUCACGAUCUACCUUGUUGUGACCUUGCACCUUAUUGCACUGCACUUUCUCUGUAGCUGUGACACUUUACUGUUAUUGUUUUUACCUAUACUACUUCAAUGCAGUCUGUACUAACUCAAUGUAACUGCACUGCAUAAUGAAUUGACGUGUAUGAUCAGUUUGUAAGACAAGCUUUUCACUGUACCUCGGUACAAGUGACAAUAAACCAAACCAAAAUGCUAUGUACUUCCUUCUGAUACAAAACCAGUGUGCACAAUGCUUCUGUAUCUCUGUAUACUUGUGCAUCCUUUAUAGUGUGCAGUAUGCUAAAUUGUAGACAUUUACAAAGGUUUCAAUCCUGUGUUGGAUAUCAGCAUAGUUAAGAUGAGAUUUGCAGAAAUAAAAUUGAGAUCCGAUUUUAACUUGUUAGGGAAUAAUUAGCUAUAUUUGACAAAAUAUACCUGAAUCUUGAAGUCCAUAAAUAAAAGUAUAUCUAUAAAGGAAUGUGCCAUAACUGCAACAAAUAUUAUGUUUAUAUUAUGACUGAUGUCUGUGAAUUGUUCUCUUGUAAUGUGUUAAAUUCCAAUUUUUGUUUUUACCAUGAUUAAUCAAAUUUGUUAUCCACAUAGAUCAUUCAGUGAAAGUAUAUUAGAGAUUUAGCUCAACAAAUUACUUUAUUUGUAUGGUCAUUCAUAUUUCAAGAAUUUUAGCCUACAAACAAUACUGAAAUGAAAACAGAUACAAUACUAGAGUUAUCAAUUUUUAUUUGAGGAACUGACAUGGGACUAGUUCAUAGUUCUAGCAUUGUGCAGGGUUCAUGGUCUGUUGCGGCAUUUCCCAUGGGUCACUGUUUAAAAGAUAAAGGGUUACCCAUCUAAGACAGAGAUGAGGCAAAACAAAUUCCUUGAGAGGGUUGUGUGCCUUUAGAACUCUGCUUCCACCAUCCUUUGACGAAGAAGGUCUUUGAAUAUUUCUAAAGCAAAGGUACAUAAAUUCUUGAUAAGCAAGGGGGUGAGAGGUUAUUAGAAUAGGCAUUGAGGUUACAAUCAAAUGAGAUAUAAUCUCAUUGAAAUGUGGAGCAUGCUCAAAAGGCUGAGUGGCCUAUUUUGCUCCUAUGAAAAACUGUUAAGUUCUUCUGGAUCAGGAAGUAAUGAGUUUGCAAAAAAUAUGGGAUUUAAAUGUGUGCUGCUGGUAAAGCUACUUCUAGUAUUCAUCAUAAAAAUAAUGGCAACAUAACACAAAAUAAACAGUUUUAUAUUUUUAGGACUAUACUUAUUUCUUUGGCAUUUCUUUUAUGUUCUGUCUCCUAAAAAUUCACUAUUGGUCAAUCAGCAUUGAAACAGGUAGGAACUGUUUCAUCUUUGGUCUGGACUCUGUCGAUGGGAUGGAAUAACGUGUUGGCCAAAACUUGCUGCUAACAAUGAGCCACCAUGGUCACUACUGCCGUAUGUGUUAAGUAUGGAUUUAAACUCUCCUUCAGUCCUGAUGUAGGGUUUCGACCUGAAACGUCAGCAGCUCCUUCCCCCACACCCAGAUGCUGCUCAAGCUGCUGUUCUUCCAACAGAUUGUUUGACGCUAUGGAUUUAAGCUGUUUUUAAUGUGCCUCUGUUGAUUUUCUUGUAGAGGACAUUCUUUUCUGAGGUGGUGAAAAGUUGAGCAGAGACAGGGCCUUGUACAAUAUUAUGUUCUCGUGGAGUUGAGGAUGGUGCGAGAUAGUUUUGGAACAGGAAGCAUAACAGGCCCUGCCCAUGAUACAGUUGAGAAAACUGUCAAAACUGAAUAUUUCUGAAUGUCCCCUAUAUACUCUUAAAAAUAACAAUUUUGGUCUGAAUUCAAUUCAUUAAAAGAUAUAAAUUAACUAAUGUUUCUUCGCACAGCCACUCCUCCCAUUAAGGCGCUGAGGCUUAACUUCUGGGAAAUUGUUGCAAAUUUAUGCUCCGCAACUAGACUCGGUGAGGAGUCCAGUGUUGGAACACAGUUGGGAAAUCCCCACAGGAGAGCAAACAGCAAGUUCAGGUCAUCUACGUUCAUGCAAAAAUACCAAAGUUGUUUCCACUAACAUUGGAGAAACACCAGUAGUUCGGUGCCAGCACUUUGCAUCAAAGUCCAGCCAAUGAAUUAGAUUUCCAUCCAUGCCAUUUGCCCAUAAAGCAGCAGCAGAACUGAGUGCAGAGAGGAAAAUGGGCAUUUGGCUUGCACACACGCAAGAGCUGACCUGAUCUUCAUUUUUAAAUUUAACUAACAAAAGAAAGAUAAUGCAAAGUUACUUCACAGAUAUGUGAUCCUCCCUCAUUUCCUCUGCAUUUGUCCAAGCAGUACCAAAAGUGCAUUACCAGCGAGUUAACACCUGCUCAUCAUUAACUAGUUUCCCCUACUCAGUCUGCGAUAUCUACCCUCUUUAAAAACUAACUUUGAUUUUUAAAUCUAAUGUGUUUUUUUUUCCCCUCAAGUUUUAAAUUCUACUUUGGAGAUGGGAGCAUUUGCAAUAAUCUAUGUUUUGGUUGUCUGAAAGGAGUUGCAUUGACAAAAACUCAAAUUUCUGAGAUUAUUUGUGGGCUUUUAAAUUGGAAGGCCUGCUGAUGAAUGAAAGGUUGACAGGCAGUAGAAUCCAGUCAUGCCUACAGGAAUAAAUGUCAUCAGUGCUGUACCUUUCGUGAGGGGUUGUAGUUAUUCAGCAGUUGUAGAUGGGGGGGAUAAAAAUUGCCCUCCAUGUCACUCCAUGACUUUUGUAACACUGAAUCUCUUCAUCAAAAAGGCUAGUUCUAGAUAGACAAGAUUGUCAAAAUAUGGUCUUGUAUAUGCAAAGACUUGUGUAGACUAUGCUGUAAAAUCCAUAUACAACUGAUAGAUUUUAAAUGAUGUAACAGAUAUCCUGUUUACUUUCAACA